This 219-nucleotide non-coding RNA is filed under the name Pediococcus stilesii. Its description in RNAcentral is "T-box sequence". It matches the Rfam family "T-box leader". Rfam says of the family: Uncharged tRNA acts as the effector for transcription antitermination of genes in the T-box leader family. T-boxes are found upstream of many aminoacyl-tRNA synthetase genes and some amino acid biosynthetic genes usually in Gram-positive bacteria. The record is from RNAcentral. Lineage: Bacteria; Bacillati; Bacillota; Bacilli; Lactobacillales; Lactobacillaceae.
AAUAAAACGAUAAAAAAGAAUGGCUUAUAAUUAAAAAACAUUUUAGCGAGUUGAUAAUGGUGAAAGAUCAACAUGUUAGGUUAUGGGCUCUAUCACUUUUGAGUGUUGAACUGAACGAUAGUAAGUUCAAACGAUUGGCAAUCGUUAUCUGCUACAAUGAGGAGGGCUUUUUUAUUGGCCCUUAAAUUUGGGUGGUAUCACGAAGACUUCGUCCCUUUG